RNAcentral lists this ribosomal RNA (368 nucleotides) under uncultured organism. RNAcentral describes it as "bacterial LSU rRNA". It matches the Rfam family "Bacterial large subunit ribosomal RNA", at positions 2099 to 2465 of the family's 2925-position model. The record is from RNAcentral.
CUUGACUGUAGCCUGGAAUUGGGUUUGGGCUCUUCUUGCGCAGCCUAGGUGGGAGGCGUUGAAAGUUCCCUUCCGGGGGUUCUUGAGCCAUCAGUGAGAGACCACUCUGGAAGAGCUAGAAUUCUAAUGGCGAUCCUUGAAUCAGGACGCUUGACAGUUUCAGGCGGGCAGUUUGACUGGGGCGGUCGCCUCCUAAAAGGUAACGGAGGCGUGCAAAGGUUCCCUCAGGCUGGACGGAAAUCAGCCGUAGAGUGUAAAGGCAGAAGGGAGCUUGACUGCAAGACCUACAAGUCGAGCAGGGGCGAAAGCCGGCCUUAGUGAUCCGACGGUACCGUGUGGAAGGGCCGUCGCUCAACGGAUAAAAGUUA